Anas platyrhynchos (mallard) is the source of this 6148-nucleotide long non-coding RNA. RefSeq lists it as uncharacterized. The record is from RefSeq and is a predicted model, not a curated record. NCBI's taxonomy places the organism in Eukaryota, Metazoa, Chordata, Aves, Anseriformes, Anatidae.
UUAUCGGUUGAGACCAUUCAGUGAGCUGAUGUCGAGGAUCACCAGUGACUUCCAUCUGCCCUCUUUCUUCGUUGCCUUACAUCUUGCCAGCGAGAGUCGGUGCUGGCCUGGUUUCUGCCAGCAUCUGUGAUAUCUGGAUAACCAUGACCGCACUAUGAGAUGUAUUAGAAGAUACACCAGUAUUGAAAGAGAAACUCUGCAAGAUGCUGAGAGGGUUCCUCCAAGAGAAAUGAAAUGUUAACACAGACUAAAAAAGCACCAUUUUAGAGUACACAAAACUCGACCAUGAUGGAUAAGUUGUGUGAGAAGACAUCACAUGUGAGACUACAGAAAGAAGAGAAAAGCAGAAACAGUGAAUCUGGGAAAAUGAAGAUAUUAAAAAAGAAAGGACAAGUCAUCAGGAUGCAAGGACACGUGUAGAUAAAAAAGCAGAAAAAUGACUCAUUCUUCAGAUCCAUUUAUGCUGCAAAAUGCACUGUGCUCUAGAACUGUGUAAUAGCAGAGCUGCAUUUACUUGUUUGUAUAAGCUUUCCGCCGCACUCCCUGUAGAAAGGAGCAGGCUGUUCCAACCUGGACUGCAAAACUGACUUCACUGAAACAUCUUUCAAAUAUCAAUGAAGAGAUGGCAUUUGUUUUGCAGGAUAGCUCAGGAAAAAUGUUCAAGGGACAAGAAAACCAGAAGAAAGCACAGUGAUGAGGCACUGGGAUGUUGUCACUGGAAUGGGACAUUCCACAAUCGUCUGCAGUGGUGCACAAACUCAAAGAAAAAGAAUUAAGGGAAGCUUUAAACACCCUUGUCCUGGAGCAUGUUUGCACUUCUGCCUUCAUCCAGCCAUCUAUUAAGGAAAAAUAACAAAAGCUUUGUCACACCCCACAAAAACACCUCCAGCUUGUGGGGUUCUGUAGACAAACUAGAUUUUGCUACCCCGGUGUGAGAUUCCUGGACCUGGUCAGCACCUCUAGAGAGAAGAGCUGGGGGAGCCCUGGAAAACAAAUCAUGAAGUUCUUCCUGGUCUGACCACACUACCAAGCAGGAGGACACAACCAUAGGCCUUGGCACUGGCACAAAUCAUCCCACAGAGAACAGGGGUGUCACUGGGCUCCCUUUUCUGUAGGAAAGCACCAGAGUACAAGUAUUGGUCUGAGGGGAUUGUAGAGACAUGAGGAACUGCUGAGGGAUGAAAAGGAUAGGCAGAGCUUUCCUUAUACCUUCUCCAAAGUGGUACAUUUGAGAUUUCUGAGCAAGGAAUUGCUGAGACUUGCUAGUACCCAUGGGGUAAGAGGUUCUUGUGCCCACUUACUGGAUGCGAACAAGGUGACACCUCAGUGAUGAUACCAAUGUCUCCUUCUGAAGGAGGAAAAAACGAAAACAGUCCUGAAAGGUCUUGAUUAUUAGCCAGAUGUUCAUGACACAAGGGGAGGAAAAAAUACGAGGGGCUGUAAGAGUUAAUGGAUUUAUUAGUGAAUGCUCUGAGAUCUUGCCGUCAUCACGCCCCGGGGGAAGUGCAGAACUCUCACUCUGUUCGUAUUUGCAACUCCCUAAAAUAAGACUACAGUGCCAGGGCUUGGAUUUCACACAUUAAUCCUGAGGGACCUUCCAGCCACAUGGCUCUGAGACAGCAAGGAAAAUUAUUUGUUUCUGUUUCUCAAAUCAAUCCGAUUAGCUGGAUUUCUACCAUAUGGGAAGCCUUACAAUGCAGGGACAGUCACUUUAGAAAGUAGCAACAAGCACAGCUUAGAGAAACUUAGAGAAAAAGGGUAGUGUCUGUCAGCAAACACCAAAUGGACUAAAUCUGUACUGAUUUGGGUUCCGUUUCCCACAGUGGAAGAGUGGGAAAGUUGUCUUCCCUUGCUCUUGGGAUAGAAAUGGUAUCAGAUGAAUCAGCCUCUUACAAGCGCUUUUUGGACAGAAUGCAGGAAAAUCUUCAUAUGAUUUGAAUUUCGUUAACUUGCAAGUGUUAUUAAUUUAUGUUGUUGGCAAACAUAGGGUCAUUAAUAACAGAAUCUGCCAAAUGCUACUACUUUAUGGGACUUAUGACAGUUGAAUCUCUGCGUCAAUAGCUUACAGCCUCACACCUGUUAGCAGGAUUCAUCUUGCCAGGCAGCAGGGACCUUGUGCAUGGGUGCAGGGUAUCGUUAGCUUCCACACCAGACAGCCAUGUCUAUGGCACUCAGCCCUGUGUAGAACUGAUUCUUGUGUUUCUGUCCUUUCCAGCAGAACCCUGGAAUAGUGAGAAGAGCCAAUAAACAAACAAAAACGAAAGGAAAAAGCCCAGAAUUUGCUGAAACUGCUGAGAACAGGAAGAGACACUAGAGAGAAGAAGAGAUUUGCAGUAGGACCAGUUGUGGAGGAUGAAGGAGAUCUGGAGGCAGGUCUUGCUCCUGACAUCUUCCCAUUCCCUCUGUAGACCUGCUCAGUCAAAGAACAGAUACUGCAUACUGGCUGCAAGUGAUUGUCAAGCUCUGGUGCUGGAGGAAGAAAAGCCAUGGACCACACCCACCCAGAGAUGCUGAUGUUCCUCCUCAGGACCACCAAAAUGUGGUGGUGGAUAGCUAUUGUUGCCUAAGGGUGAUGGGAGAACCCAUCUGCCACAUGGCUCUGAAAGGCAGGCAGAAGGGAGAAGGCAUCAUCUUCUCUGAUGCGUGCAAUUGCCUGGAAUUGAAGGUCUGAAGGAAGUUGGGUGGCUGUGUGGAUGAGGACACGGGAGAAGUUUCUGGGUGAUUUCACAGGGGAAGUUUUAAAAACUAACAGACCAGGAAGAUCAGUCUGAUGAGGCUUUUUAUGAGAGAAGAGGACAAACACAUUAAAAACAACAUGUGGUGUCAGUGGGGGGGAUUUAAGCUACUGGGAAGGAAAAGUAGAUUUAGGCUGUGUAAAUUCAGAGAAGAAUCUGGGUAAAAUGUAGAGAAAGGAGGUUAGUUGGAGUAAAGAUUUACCUUGGUCUGAUUUUAAGGAAUACAGAAAGAUGGAAAAUGAGUCAGGUCGUGGAAGCUCUGCAAAGAGUGUUCACAAUCCUUAAAAAAGUGAGGAGGAAGAAGAACAAAGAAUAUGACAAAUUUCAAGAAGAAAGCCCUAUAAACUCUGUACAUUGCUGGCAGAGAUUUCACAGGGCAGUGGGCAAAACUAAAGGAGAUGUGAAAAGAAGGAAAGUAGAAAGGUCCUGCUGCAAGUUGACAGUUACUCCCAGGAACAAUACCAAUAACAGGAGCACAAAUUGUCCCAGAGCAGAAAAAGGUAGAGAAGUCAGCAAGAGGUCAGCUACACUGACAUUUAGAUUUAUUGACCUUAAUAGAUCUUAUUACGGGUAUAGAUAAAAUGAGGCCUUUCUAGGGAAACCUCCUUUUCCCCUUGCUCUCAACUCAGGGCUGGUUCUGAGUCACAAUCUCAAAAAUUGCAAAUUCAGCUUCAGUUCCUUGCCUGAAGAAAUGUGUUAAAAUAUAGGUCUUUGUUGUUGUUAAACCCAGGAGUAUGUGAAGGAGGAAAAAAAAAAGUUCAGAAACACAUUCCCAGAAACGCAAGUCUGGAAGUCUAAGCAGGUUCAUAUAAUAUUAUUAUAUUGUCAUGGUUUUGCAAGAAAGAAAGAUAUAGAAGAUUAAACCAGAAAGUAACAGAUGCUAAAAGGAACUAUACCAGAUAUACAUGUGAAUGGAGGGGAAAAAUUAUAAAAUAAAAUAAAAUAAAAUAAAAUAAAAUAAAAUAAAAUAAAAUAAAAUAAAAUAAAAUAAAAUAAAAUAAAAUAAAAUAAAAUAAAAUAAAAAUAAAAUAAAAUAAAAUAAAAUAAAAUAAAUAUGGAAACUGGUUAGCCAGAGUCUGAGGCAGCCACCCUGGUGCUCCAUCUCUGUGUUAUAAGAGCUGCAUCCAGAAUGAGAAGAGCCAGGGCACAACGCCCCAGGUCCACCAGGCAGGAACAGACUGUUCUGUAGUGUCACACUAAAAACCCUGCAAGAAAAUAUAUCACUGAUAAUUCUGCAGACUGUUCUUAGAGAUAACUCCCUCUCUCACUCAAGACUUUCAAAUAACAAUCAUCAUCAAUGCAAUUUGGUUGCCAGGACACUUGUUUUCAUUAAUUAAAAUGUUAGUCAUGGAAUCACUAAGACCACGUCCAGAUAAAUAAACAAAUAUCAUCAGGACAUCCAGGGCUAGCUAGUAAACUUUGCACUUUGUAGGACUACUCUUGCCAUGUUUCUUUGUCAUGUCUUGUAUAUCUAAUGUGGCUUCAGCAGCAAACACCUCCCUACUUUUGCCUAAAUUAUUGCUUGCCUUAACUUCAGGAUAUUGCCUAUUAAGAAUUGACUCCUUACAUUGACAAGAGGGAAUGGAUGAAAUCCCAGCCUGGAAAACAGAUUAUAAAAACAAGUUGCAGCCCUGCAUUCUCUAUCCCCAAGUCCUGUAAGUCUGGGCAUAAUGUGUUGACAACAGGACAACAAGGGCUGUUUCCUCUCCUGUAAAUUUUCUCACUACUCCCCCACCCUGUUCUGGGCCUGUGAUCUCAUUGGCAUGAACAGAAUGAUCUGUUCUUUGAGCUGAAAAUGGAAAUAGUUUAAAUAAAAGUCAGUCUUUUUAGCCCUCCUUUGGACACUCUCUGAUAGUUUUAUGGCCUUCUCAUACUGUGGCACCCAAAACUGCACGCAGUACUCAAGGUGAGUCCACACCAGCGCAGAGCAAAGUGGGUCGAUCACUUCCGACAGCCAGCUAGCAGUGCUGUGCUUGAUGCACCUCAGGAUACAGCUGGCCCUUUUGGCUGGCAGGGCACACUAUUGACUCAUAUUCAACUGGCUGUUGACCAGCCCCCAGAUCGCUUUCCAUGGGAUCUGCAGUUUCUUGUCCUCCAGACUGUAUGUACAGUCACAGGUUGCCCCUUCCCAGGUGCAGAGUCUGGCACUAGUUCUUGAUAAACUUCUUGCAGUCAGUGAUUGCUAGGCUCUCUAAAUUUUCAGGAUCUCUUUGCAAGGCCUCUCUAUUCUUGAGAGAGUCAACAGCUCCUCCUAAUUUAAUGACACCCACAGUCUCUUAGUAUACCCUCAAGUCCUACAUCCAAGUCAUUUAUGAACAUAUUAAAGAGAACUGCUCCUAAAAUGGAGCCUGGUGGAUCCCCACUAGAUGGCUGGCUGCCAGCCUGAGGUUACCCCAUUUUACAAAAAUCCCCCAAAAAUCUUCCAUUGGGAAAGAUGGAAGUUGUGGCUCAUCUGCUGUUGCCUAUGUAGAAAGAGAGACCCUGAAGCUCAGACCUGCUUUAGAGGCAACCUCCCUGGUCCCCUGGGCCAUAUGUGAGACAACUGAUUGUUUUCCAUUCUCUCAUCCAUUUUUGCUCACUGUCUCACCCACAAACAUGAAUAUUUCCUAUAGUUUCCACGUUCUUACUUCACAGCUGAGAAAUAUUCAACUAACAAAUCUUGACCAGCACUGCCCAGGAUUAAGCUUUCAUUUAUGUGACCUGCUUCAGGGCUGUAUAGGCAAACACUAUGUAAGACUUGAUUUACAGCAGAAAUACUCAAAUCAGUUCAGACAAAAUGAGACUCACUCAAUGAGGUCUCUCCUAUUUUAAAGUAAAGGCCUAGACUCACUGCCAGAUGAAUAUGGCUGGAGUCAGAUAGAAUGUCCCUGGUGAACAAACACUAUCAUCUGCCUUCCAGGAGUGGCUAAUACCCCUGUCCAGGCAUUCUCAACACCUUCAAGCAGGGUAGUUUGCUCUGUAGCAUCAUCCCUCCAAGAUUCUCCACAGGUCUUAACAAUUAAAUACUGUCUUAGGAAGUUGUCUAAGGUAAUUUUCAGUCCUAUUGCAUCUUAAAAUAAGGUGUUCUGCAGAAGGAGAGAAUGGUAGAAGUGCUAGAGCAAUGUAUAAAAUGUCAUAGCCUUGAAUAACAGGGCAGCUGGCUUGGUUUGAUAUCUACCAUGUGUUUGCAGGAUGCAAUUGAUAUGUCCAUAAAGCCCCCAGACGAGAACAAUGAGCAAGGAGCUGUGUCAGUACAGUGCUCAUCAACCUCUAUAAGGCUUUGUUGGCUUCCAUGUUUGGAAACCAGCUAAACAUGAAAUUCCUGAUUUAAGAUGUUGUGAAUUAAAAAAUGGCAGAGUAGUUUCCUGAACUAAACGAACGUCUGCUUUUUUUUUCUGUCUUUCAUUUUUUCUUCCUUCCUUCCUUCCUUCCUU